RNAcentral lists this ribosomal RNA (446 nucleotides) under uncultured bacterium. RNAcentral describes it as "partial 16S ribosomal RNA". It matches the Rfam family "Bacterial small subunit ribosomal RNA", at positions 338 to 795 of the family's 1533-position model. The record is from RNAcentral.
CCUACGGGGGGCAGCAGUCGAGAAUCAUUCACAAUGGGGGAAACCCUGAUGGUGCGACGCCGCGUGGGGGAAUGAAGGUCUUCGGAUUGUAAACCCCUGUCAUGUGGGAGCAAAUUAAAAAGAUAGUACCACAAGAGGAAGAGACGGCUAACUCUGUGCCAGCAGCCGCGGGAAUACAGAGGUCUCAAGCGUUGUUCGGAAUCACUGGGCGUAAAGCGUGCGUAGGCUGUUUCGUAAGUCGUGUGUGAAAGGCGCGGGCUCAACCCGCGGACGGCACAUGAUACUGCGAGACUAGAGUAAUGGAGGGGGAACCGGAAUUCUCGGUGUAGCAGUGAAAUGCGUAGAUAUCGAGAGGAACACUCGUGGCGAAGGCGGGUUCCUGGACAUUAACUGACGCUGAGGCACGAAGGCCAGGGGAGCGAAAGGGAUUAGAUACCCCUGUAGUC